AAUUAUUACUUGGACACAAGCCCUUUGAAACCACCUGACUGUACCAGUAUAACCCAUACCUUGGAAACUACCAUCCACUAGAUAGAAUCAGCUAAGGACUAUCAAUUCUGUCAAAAGCAGGUGAGUAAGUGUACAGUCAGGUUUUUUCAGUCCAAUGCUGUCUUUCCAAUGCCCUUAAUGAAGAGAGGGCUAGGACAUUUUAAAGACUAGGUAUUCUCAAUGAUAGUUGAACACGUGAGUCUACGAUCAUACAGG
RNAcentral lists this long non-coding RNA (255 nucleotides) under Bos taurus (domestic cattle). Its description in RNAcentral is "long non-coding RNA NONBTAT018185". The record is from RNAcentral. Lineage: Eukaryota; Metazoa; Chordata; Mammalia; Artiodactyla; Bovidae.